GAUGAAGAACGCAGCGAAAUGCGAUAAGUAGUGUGAAUUGCAGAAUUCAGUGAAUCAUCGAAUCUUUGAACGCACAUUGCGCCCGCUAGUAUUCUGGCGGGCAUGCCUGUUCGAGCGUCAUUUCAACCAUCAAGCCCUGUUUAGGCUUGUGUUGGGGCCCUGCGGCUGCCGCAGCCCCCUAAAUGCAGUGGCGGGCUCGUUGUCACUCCGAGCGCAGUAGCGUAUCUCGCUCUGGGCGUGGCGGCGGGUGCUAGCCGUGAAACACCCACUAAGGUUGACCUCGGAUCAGGUAGGAAUACCCGCUGAACUUAAGCAUAUCAAUAAGCGGAGGA
This 332-nucleotide unclassified non-coding RNA is filed under the name soil metagenome. RNAcentral's name for it is "partial contains 5.8S ribosomal RNA, internal transcribed spacer 2, and large subunit ribosomal RNA". The stretch from base 1 to 120 matches the Rfam family "5.8S ribosomal RNA", at positions 35 to 154 of the family's 154-position model. The record is from RNAcentral.